UUGGGGUGGAGGGCCAAGGAGC
RNAcentral lists this microRNA (22 nucleotides) under Homo sapiens (human). RNAcentral's name for it is "hsa-miR-6819-5p". The record is from miRBase by way of RNAcentral. Lineage: Eukaryota; Metazoa; Chordata; Mammalia; Primates; Hominidae.